Salvia hispanica is the source of this 2921-nucleotide non-coding RNA. The record is from RefSeq and is a predicted model, not a curated record. NCBI's taxonomy places the organism in Eukaryota, Viridiplantae, Streptophyta, Magnoliopsida, Lamiales, Lamiaceae.
UUAUCUCUGUUGCAUGAAUGGAAUUGGUAUCUUAAGUUGCCAUUUUUGUUUGGACAAAUAGUACUCUACUGAAGAAUUUAGUGUAGCUAAUCACAGUUUUUAUGAACGGUUUAGGGCUCUGUGUGUUGAAGUGAGUGGUAUGGUGUCUGUUGGUUUUAGAGCAUUGGCAUUGAGAAACCAUAACUCACAUAAUUCAUCUCAGAACGGCUUGAUUACCGACCAAGGUAAAACUUCGUUUACGCGCAGGAAAAUGGGCAGGAAAGGAAGCAAGAAAGAUAGUGGAUUUCAUCGCAAUGAUUCAAACAUGGAUGAAUCUGGCGGUGCAACGGGAAGAGCUCGGAAUUUUUCACGGGACAAGGGAGGCGCAGCGCCUCACGCUGAGUCUCAGGCGUCGUUUGUUAGAAAGCAGGUUGAUCCAGAGACAGCUAAGUACUUCUCGGAGAUUACAAAUGUUAUAGAAGGUACAGAGGUGGACAUGGAGGAGCGAUCUGUUAUAUGCGGUACUGCAUUGGAAGAAGCCAGAGGCAAAGAAGUGGAGCUUGCAACUGAUUAUAUUAUUAGCCACACUAUGCAAACUCUUCUUGAAGGCUGCACGUUGGACUGCCUUUGUUCUUUUCUGCGCAGCUCAGCCGGUGAAUUUUCCCAGAUUUGUAUGGAUAGGUCCGGUUCCCAUGUAGCUGAAACGGCUCUCAAGUCUUUGGCCAGGCACCUUGAGGAUACCGAGAGCCACCCUAUCAUUGAAGAGACACUAUCCGUAUUGUGCGAGGCAAUUGUGGCAAAUCCCGUUGAUAUAAUGUGCAAUUGUUACGGAUCUCAUGUCCUUCGGAGACUUCUUUGUCUCUGUAAAGGAGUUCCCAUGGACUCGUUGGAAUUUCAUAGCACAAACCCGUCUGCCGUGCUGGCAGAACGUUUGAAUCUGCGAUCAUCUCAUGCGGACAGUCAUAACGCACCACAGAACCAGCCAUUCCCGAAUCAACUAAAAUUUCUCAUAUCAGAGAUGGUCGAUCCUUCAAGGGCAGACAUGGCAACCCUACAAGCUAAUCAAUAUAGUAGUUUGGUUCUGCAGACUGCUUUGAAAUUAUUAGCUGGGCAAGAGGAGGAACUGUUCCGUUUGAUUCCCAUUCUCCUUGGCUGCCCUAUCGAUGCUGUAUCAGAAGAAAGCUUCAUUGAAGUUAAACGUUUAGUGGAAGAAAAUGCAUACAGUCAUUUGAUGGAGGUCAUCUUGGCAGUGGCACCUGAUACAAUUUACAAUGGCAUAUUCACAAAAAUCUUCAAGAAUUCUUUAUUUAGACUGUCAUCGCAUUUCUGUGGAAACUUUGUCAUACAAGCAUUGAUAUCUCAUGCAAGAGGGCAAGAACAUAUAAAGUUGAUAUUUGAGGAACUGGGGCCGAAAUUUAGAGAUCUUCUUGAGUUGGGAAGGGCUGGAGUUGUGGCAGCUCUUCUUGCUUCCAGUCAAAGACUUCAGGGCAAUCAGCAUGAGUGUUGUCAAGCCCUUGCUGAUGCUGUUUGUUUGAGUGCCGAGUCUUCUGUGUGCAUUGUUCCGCGGCUAUUAUUUCUUGAAAAUUACCUCUAUUCUGUAGAUAAAGACAACUGGGGUUGGCCAAGUGGUUUAAAAAUGCAUGUUUUGGGCUCUUUGAUGCUGCAGUCGAUUUUCAGAUACCCCAGUGAAUUCGUAAAAUCAUAUAUCAACAGUAUCACAUCUUUAGAGGAUAAACAUGUUCUCGAAGUGUCAAAAGAUCCUGCUGGGGCCCGUGUUAUCGAGGCUUUUCUUGUUUCAAGCAUUUCUGCUAAGCAAAAGUACAAGAUAGUUGGCAAGCUUCGAGGACAUUUUGGAGAGCUCGCUGUGCUUCCAUCAGGCGCAUUUACCAUCGAGAAAUGCUUCCAUGCCUGCAACUUGUCUAUGAAGGAAACAAUUGUGUCGGAACUAUUAUCUUUCAAAGCAGAGCUGUCUAAGAGUAGACAGGGCCCGUAUCUCUUGAAGAAACUUGACAUUGAGGGAUUUGCAAGACGACCAGAGCAAUGGAGAUCUAGGCUAACUUCCAAAGAAUCCGUCUUCAACGAAUUCUACGAAGCAUUCGGACAAAAGGAUGCCAAAUCUUCUCGAGGCGGCAACUUUCUUUCGGAUUCUUAUAAAAACACUCAGGCGGAAAAGUUCAAGGGCAUAAGGAAAGAGAUAGAUGAUGGCCUUUCUUCCGGUUCUAUUUCUAAAUCAGGCACUCCCUUUCUGGCUCAUCAGGGGUCAACUAAAGUGAAAAAAUCAGGGGAUAAGAAAUCAAAAGUUCGAGGUUUCUCCCAAGACAAUAACGAUGAAUUCUCAAAAAGCAAAAAGCAUAAAACAUCAAAAGAUGGAGACAGUGCUAGGAAUGAGAAGAAACGACGUAAAAAAGAUGGAUUGUCAGAAACUUCGAACAAGAAGCUCAAGGCUGGGAUCAGUGAUUAACUUAAUCUACUCUCUACAGUUACAGCAAAACUGGUUGCAAUCCGAAGUUGCAACAAAGUGGUCCUCUCCUAGAAGAAACGGCGAAUCCUAAUCUGUCAAAGACAGGAGGUAUUCUUCUGAAGCUCGACUUCUCGUUCUUGUAUGGAAUCUUCUGUUUUACAUCCAAUCCCUUUAAAGACUUUGUAGCCGAGGUAGAUGCACUCUCUCUCUCCAGAAGGGUUCUCCUGGCUCGAGCUCCUUGCACGUUGGCAUGCAAAAUCAACACCAGUGCAAGAAGCAACGAUGCCACCACACUCAGGUUGGACUUCAUUGUGUUGCAGUGUUUGUUCGCGUGGAUACAAUAACGAUGGAGUUUGGCUUUUGUAGUGAGAUUUAUAGUGUGGUUGAGCUCAUCCAGUCCAUUCAGUCAUAUAUAUGUGUGUGUGUGCAAGAUCUUGUUGGAAUCAUAUGCAUGUUGGAUCAUGUGAUGUUUGUUUGACUA